RNAcentral lists this ribosomal RNA (378 nucleotides) under uncultured eukaryote. RNAcentral describes it as "SSU rRNA". It matches the Rfam family "Eukaryotic small subunit ribosomal RNA", at positions 587 to 972 of the family's 1831-position model. The record is from RNAcentral.
AGCUCCAAUAGCCUAUAUUAAAUUGCUGCGGUUAAAACGCUCGUAGUUGGAUAUCUUCCAAGAGGUUCGGUUCCAUCCUAGUGAUGAAUGCGCGGAAUUCUUUUUUGGCACUCGUUGUGGGAAGGCGGUUGCACUUUAUUGUGCGUCUUUUGAUCUGGAUUUUGCUUUGAGGAAAUGAGAGUGUUUCAAGCAGGCUUUUGCCAAAAAUAUGAUAGCAUGGAAUAAUAGCACAGGACCCCUUUUCAAAGCUGUUGGUUCUUGGAACGAGGUAAUUAGAAUAAGGGUAGUUGGGGGUGUUCGCAUUUAACUAUCGGAGGUAAAAUUCUUGGAUCUUUUAAAGACGAACUAGUGCGAAGGCAUCUGUCAACAGUGUUUUUG